Molecule: ribosomal RNA, 406 nt
Filed under: uncultured bacterium
Lineage: Bacteria
Description: partial 16S ribosomal RNA
Rfam family: Bacterial small subunit ribosomal RNA
Source: RNAcentral
AUUGAACGCUGGCGGCAGGCCUAACACAUGCAAGUCGAACGAGGGGCGGACGGGUGAGAAAUGUCUGGGAACCUGCCUGAUGGGGGGGGAUAACUACUGGAAACGGUAGCUAAUACCGCAUACCAUCAAAUGUGCCCAGAUGUGAUUAGCUAGUUGGUGGGGUAACGGCUCACCAGGGCGACGAUCCCUAGCUGGGCUGAGAGGAUGACCAGCCACACUGGAACUGAGACACGGUCCAGACUCCUACGGGAGGCAGCAGUGGGGAAUAUUGCACAAUGGGCGCAAGCCUGAUGCAGCCAUGCCGCGUGUAUGAAGAAGGCCUUCGGGUUGUAAAGUACUUUCAGCGGGGAGGCGUUACCCGCAGAAGAAGCAACGGCUAACUCCGUGCCAGCAGCCGCGGUAAUAC